This 253-nucleotide ribosomal RNA is filed under the name uncultured bacterium. RNAcentral's name for it is "partial 16S ribosomal RNA". It matches the Rfam family "Bacterial small subunit ribosomal RNA", at positions 524 to 776 of the family's 1533-position model. The record is from RNAcentral.
UACGUAGGGUGCGAGCGUUGUCCGGAAUUAUUGGGCGUAAAGGGCUCGUAGGCGGUUUGUCACGUCGGGAGUGAAAACUCGGAGCUCAACUCCGAGCCUGCGUUCGAUACUGGACGGCUAGAGUCUGGUAGGGGGAUCUGGAAUUCCUGGUGUAGCGGUGGAAUGCGCAGAUAUCAGGAGGAACACCGGUGGCGAAGGCGGGAUCCUGGGCCAGUACUGACGCUGAGGAGCGAAAGCGUGGGGAGCAAACAGG